Molecule: ribosomal RNA, 490 nt
Filed under: uncultured bacterium
Lineage: Bacteria
Description: partial 16S ribosomal RNA
Rfam family: Bacterial small subunit ribosomal RNA
Source: RNAcentral
AGUGAACGCUGGCGGUAGGCCUAACACAUGCAAGUCGAACGGCAGCACAGGAGAGCUUGCUCUCUAGGUGGCGAGUGGCGGACGGGUGAGGAAUACAUCGGAAUCUGCCCAGUCGUGGGGGAUAACGUAGGGAAACUUACGCUAAUACCGCAUACGACCUUCGGGUGAAAGAGGGGGAUCGCAGGACCUCUCGCGAUUGGAUGAGCCGAUGUCGGAUUAGCUAGUUAGCGGGGUAAUGGCCCACCAAGGCGACGAUCCGUAGCUGGUCUGAGGGGAUGAUCAGCCACACUGGAACUGAGACACGGUCCAGACUCCUACGGGAGGCAGCAGUGGGGAAUAUUGGACAAUGGGCGCAAGCCUGAUCCAGCCAUACCGCGUGGGUGAAGAAGGCCUUCGGGUUGUAAAGCCCUUUUGUUGGGAAAGAAAUCUUUCAGGCUAAUACCCUGGGAGGAUGACGGUACCCAAAGAAUAAGCACCGGCUAACUUCGUG